Non-coding RNA from Sciurus carolinensis (gray squirrel), 681 nucleotides. NCBI's taxonomy places the organism in Eukaryota, Metazoa, Chordata, Mammalia, Rodentia, Sciuridae. The record is from the annotation of a RefSeq genome assembly.
AUGGUGCUGUCCAGGCAGCUGAAGGUGGUUAUGGUGUUAAUGUGGCUGGGAUCCAGUUUUGCCCAGAAGGUAGCUCAGGCACAGCCAGCCGUGUGGGUGCAGGAGAAGGAGGCUGUGAGCCUGCACUGCACCUAUGACACCAGUGCCACAAGUUAUGGUCUCCUCUGGUACAAGCAGCCCAGCAGUGGGGAGAUGGUCUUCCUCAUUCGCCAGGACUCUUACAGCCAGGAAAAUGCCACACAAGGUCGCUACUCACUGAGUUUGCAGACUGCAAGCAAAUCCAUCCAGCUUGUCAUCCCAGCCUCACAGCUGGGGGACUCAGCGGUGUAUUUCUGUGCACUGAGAGGUUGGACCCGUGGAGACUCAGUGACCCAGAUACAAGGCCAAGUGACCGUUUUAGAAGGGGUUUUGCUGAUUAUAAACUGCACUUAUACAGCCUCAAGAUACCCUGCUCUUUUCUGGUAUGUUCAAUACCCUGGAGAAAGUCUACAGCUCCUCCUGAAAGCUGUGACAGCCAACGAUAAGGUCAGCAACAAAGGUUUUGAAGCCACAUACAAUAAAGAAGCCACCUCCUUCCACUUGGAGAAAGCCUCUGUUCAAGAGUCAGACUCGGCUGUGUACUACUGUGCUCUGGGUGACACAGUGGCAGAAACUGCAGGGGGAGCUGAGCGGAAACUCUGA